GUGCUUGCUUUGGCAGCACAUAUACUAAAGUUGGAAUGAUACAGAGAUUAGCAUGGCCCCUGUGCAACGGUGACAUGCAAAUUCAUGAAGCGCUCCGUAAUUUA
Molecule: small nuclear RNA, 104 nt
Filed under: Vulpes vulpes (red fox)
Lineage: Eukaryota; Metazoa; Chordata; Mammalia; Carnivora; Canidae
Source: RNAcentral